Molecule: transfer RNA, 68 nt
Filed under: Urocyon cinereoargenteus (gray fox)
Lineage: Eukaryota; Metazoa; Chordata; Mammalia; Carnivora; Canidae
Description: tRNA-Tyr
Rfam family: tRNA
About the family: Transfer RNA (tRNA) molecules are approximately 80 nucleotides in length. Their secondary structure includes four short double-helical elements and three loops (D, anti-codon, and T loops).
Source: RNAcentral
GGUAAAAUGGCUGAUAAAAGCAUUAGACUGUAAAUCUAAUAAUGUGGGUUAAAAUCCCCCUUUUACCA